This 329-nucleotide unclassified non-coding RNA is filed under the name soil metagenome. Its description in RNAcentral is "partial contains 5.8S ribosomal RNA, internal transcribed spacer 2, and large subunit ribosomal RNA". The stretch from base 1 to 120 matches the Rfam family "5.8S ribosomal RNA", at positions 35 to 154 of the family's 154-position model. The record is from RNAcentral.
GAUGAAGAACGUAGCGAAAUGCGAUAAGUAGUGUGAAUUGCAGAAUUCAGUGAAUCAUCGAAUCUUUGAACGCACAUUGCGCCCCUUGGUAUCCCGAGGGGCAUGCCUGUUCGAGCGUCAUUUCACCACUCAAGCCUGGCUUGGUGUUGGGCGACGUCCUCUUUGGGGACGCGCCUCGAAACGCUCGGCGGCGUGGCACCGGCUUUAAGCUUAGCAGAAUCUUUCGCUUUGGAAGUCGGGGCCCCGUCUGCCGGAAGACCUGCUCGCAAGGUUGACCUCGGAUCAGGCAGGGAUACCCGCUGAACUUAAGCAUAUCAAUAAGCGGAGGA